Sceloporus undulatus (fence lizard) is the source of this 968-nucleotide long non-coding RNA. RefSeq lists it as uncharacterized. The transcript has 3 exons. The record is from RefSeq and is a predicted model, not a curated record. Lineage: Eukaryota; Metazoa; Chordata; Lepidosauria; Squamata; Phrynosomatidae.
CUGGGAUUUCUCCUGCCUAUUCUGCAUGCAUACUCCAGAGAUUUGAUGGAAUUGUGCCUGAUGAGACCUGACUUUUUGUAAUACAGUGAAGCUCUUCAUGGAGAAUGUAACAGGCAGGAUGCCCAGGAAGUGUCCUUCUGGAGCACAUCCAAAAAUGAAUGGUCUGAACAACCUUAAAUGGCCUUUCAGGAGUUGACUCAACGCCCAGUGGAAAGAUCUGAAUGGCUUUCAACAGUGCUUAACCACAAGGUCCAAAUGAUCAGCACAUGCGGAAGGAGAGGAAGGAAAGACCCCAAUCUGUCUCAAGCCUGCAGGCAUCCAAGUGUGGAAAGUAUGACAUCAGAAUUCUGAUACAAUUCCAUAUGGGCUUUCUUUACAGUACCAGCAGGGUAAUUUACCGAGGAAAGGCCAGCAUAAUUUCAGAUUUUACACCCAUUUCUUUAUAGUUCACCUCAUGGUUUUCUUGGACAUUGUGGUCUGUUAUCAUCAAACAACUUGUUUUCCUCUGCUGUCUGAGUGCCAGUGGUUCCCUUGACAACAUUUGCUGUAAUAAUUUUUGCCGGCCAGUUUUUGUAGAACUGAUGACUUCAAUUACUCUCCUCAUAUCAACACAGAGGUGAGAUCUGAUCAUCUGCCUCUUUUUGGGGGAUGACUUAUGUGAAUUAUUUUGUUUUGUUUUAAACUUCAGAGACCAACCAAACAAGGCACAUAAAAGGAAGCAAUUCAAGUGAGACUGCAAAUGACUCAGUGGAUUGCAAACUGGCCAUUUAAGCCAAGAUGUCCUCUCUUCCCCUUUCACCACAGUGCGCAUUCUGUUGCCAGAUUCACGCAGAAGCAGAUGACAUACAAUGUUACUGAAAAUGGAGUGGGGCAUCUGCCACAUUUUUGGUCAAGGAUCUACAAACUGUUACCUUCAGUCCUUCGAAUCUCCCCAGACCAUCCUCCCUUCCACAACCAAAAGAGAAAUA